This 73-nucleotide transfer RNA is filed under the name Amborella trichopoda. RNAcentral describes it as "tRNA AMTR_s00111t00277080". It matches the Rfam family "tRNA". Rfam says of the family: Transfer RNA (tRNA) molecules are approximately 80 nucleotides in length. Their secondary structure includes four short double-helical elements and three loops (D, anti-codon, and T loops). Further hydrogen bonds mediate the characteristic L-shaped molecular structure. tRNAs have two regions of fundamental functional importance: the anti-codon, which is responsible for specific mRNA codon recognition, and the 3' end, to which the tRNAs corresponding amino acid is attached (by aminoacyl-tRNA synthetases). tRNAs cope with the degeneracy of the genetic code in two manners: having more than one tRNA (with a specific anti-codon) for a particular amino acid; and 'wobble' base-pairing, i.e. permitting non-standard base-pairing at the 3rd anti-codon position. The record is from RNAcentral. Lineage: Eukaryota; Viridiplantae; Streptophyta; Magnoliopsida; Amborellales; Amborellaceae.
GGUUCCAUGGUCUAGUGGUCAGGACAUUGGACUUUGAAUCCAAUAGCCCGAGUUCGACUCUCGGUGGGACCUC